GAAAUGCGAUAAGUAAUGUGAAUUGCAGAAUUCAGUGAAUCAUCGAAUCUUUGAACGCACAUUGCGCCCGCUAGUACUCUAGCGGGCAUGCCUGUUCGAGCGUCAUUUCAACCCUCAAGCCCUGCUUGGUGUUGGGGCCCUACGGCUGCCGUAGGCCCUGAAAAGAAGUGGCGGGCUCGCUACAACUCCGAGCGUAGUAGAAUACUAUCUCGCUAGGGAGGCGUGGCGCGCUCCGGCCGUUAAAGACCCCAUCUUUAACCCAAGGUUGACCUCGGAUCAGGUAGGAAUACCCGCUGAACUUAA
Molecule: unclassified non-coding RNA, 303 nt
Filed under: uncultured Coniolariella
Lineage: Eukaryota; Fungi; Ascomycota; Sordariomycetes; Xylariales; Xylariaceae
Description: sequence contains ITS1
Rfam family: 5.8S ribosomal RNA (bases 1-105)
Source: RNAcentral